Molecule: ribosomal RNA, 301 nt
Filed under: uncultured bacterium
Lineage: Bacteria
Description: partial 16S ribosomal RNA
Rfam family: Bacterial small subunit ribosomal RNA
Source: RNAcentral
CAGUCGCCGCGGGAAUACGUAGGGUGCAAGCGUUAAUCGGAUUUACUGGGCGUAAAGCGUGCGUAGGCGGCUUCUUAAGUCGGAUGUGAAAUCCCUGAGCUUAACUUAGGAAUUGCAUUCGAUACUGGGAAGCUAGAGUAUGGGAGAGGAUGGUAGAAUUCCAGGUGUAGCGGUGAAAUGCGUAGAGAUCUGGAGGAAUACCGAUGGCGAAGGCAGCCAUCUGGCCUAAUACUGACGCUGAGGUACGAAAGCAUGGGGAGCAAACAGGAUUAGAUACCCCUGUAGUCCCUGUCUCUUAUAC